GCAUCUAGCUCUCACAUUCUAGCCACUGUCCUCUUUGUCUGUAGGUCGCUUUACACUUUCAAUUGCCAUGACGCUUCCUCAUUCAAACUCUUAACUGAAAUUAUUACUCUCGAAUACAUAAGAAAUACAAGAAAUGGCAAUCUUAAAAAAAACAACCCAAAAUGAUACCACAGAAUGACCUCUAACUAGUGUCCAAUUCCUAAUCUCUUAUUACUUGGUGAUAAUGACAACAUACUACCCAUACUUUCCGUUUCUCACCUCCGUCCC
This 267-nucleotide long non-coding RNA is filed under the name Physcomitrium patens. Its description in RNAcentral is "long non-coding RNA (PPAT_LNC001622)". Lineage: Eukaryota; Viridiplantae; Streptophyta; Bryopsida; Funariales; Funariaceae. The record is from RNAcentral.